UGGGGAAUUUUGGACAAUGGGCGAAAGCCUGAUCCAGCAAUGCCGCGUGUGUGAAGAAGGCCUUCAGGGUUGUAAAGCACUUUUGUCCGGAAAGAAAUCCUUGGCUCUAAUACAGUCGGGGGAUGACGGUACCGGAAGAAUAAGCACCGGCUAACUACGUGCCAGCAGCCGCGGUAAUACGUAGGGUGCAAGCGUUAAUCGGAAUUACUGGGCGUAAAGCGUGCGCAGGCGGUUUGCUAAGACCGAUGUGAAAUCCCCGGGCUCAACCUGGGAACUGCAUUGGUGACUGGCAGGCUAGAGUACGGCAGAGGGGGGUAGAAUUCCACGUGUAGCAGUGAAAUGCGUAGAGAUGUGGAGGAAUACCGAUGGCGAAGGCAGCCCCCUGGGCCAAUACUGACGCUCAUGCACGAAAGCGUGGGGGAGCAAAACAGGAUUAGAUACCCUGGUAGUCCACGCCCUAAACGAUGUCAACUAGUUGUUGGGGAUUCAUUUCCUUAGUAACGUAGCUAACGCGUGAAGUUGACCGCCUGGGG
This 533-nucleotide ribosomal RNA is filed under the name uncultured bacterium. Its description in RNAcentral is "partial 16S ribosomal RNA". It matches the Rfam family "Bacterial small subunit ribosomal RNA", at positions 355 to 878 of the family's 1533-position model. The record is from RNAcentral.